Molecule: non-coding RNA, 906 nt
Organism: Xyrichtys novacula (pearly razorfish)
Lineage: Eukaryota; Metazoa; Chordata; Actinopteri; Labriformes; Labridae
Source: the annotation of a GenBank genome assembly
UUGGCGAGUUUGAACGUUUUUGAGCAUGUGUAAUGGCAUAAUUCGUUAAGCUAUUGUUUUAGUCUUCUUUUGAUGAGUUUGGCUUGUUGAUAUGAAAAGUGUAUGUUUUGGCGAGUUUGAACGUUUUUGAGCAUGUGUAAUGGCAUGAAUGCGUUAAGCUGUUGUUUUAGUGUUCUUAUGAUGAGUUUGGCUUGUUGUUAUGAAAAGUGUUUGUUUUGGCGAGUUUGAACGUUUUUGAGCAUGUGUAAUGGCAUGAAUGCGUUUAAGCUGUUGUUUUAGUGUUCUUUUGAUGAGUUUGGCUUGUUGUUAUGAAAAGUGUUUGUUUUGGCGAGUUUGAACGUUUUUGAGCAUGUGUAAUGGCAUGAAUGCGUUAAGCUGUUGUUUUAGUGUUCUUUUGAUGAGUUUGGCUUGUUGUUAUGAAAAGUGUUUGUUUUGGCGAGUUUGAACGUUUUUGAGCAUGUGUAAUGGCAUGAAUGCGUUAAGCUGUUGUUUUAGUGUUCUUUUGAUGACUUUGGCUUGUUGUUAUGAACAUUGUUCGUUUUGGCGAGUUUGAACGUUUUUGAGCAUGUGUAAUGGCAUGAAUGCGUUAAGCUGUUGUUUUAGUGUUCUUUUGAUGAGUUUGGCUUGUUGUUAUGAACAUUGUUCGUUUUGGCGAGUUUGAACGUUUUUGAGCAUGUGUAAUGGCAUGAAUUCGUUAAGCUGUUGUUUUAGUGUUCUUUUGAUGAGUUUGGCUUGUUGUUAUGAAAAGUGUUUGUUUUGGCGAGUUUGAACGUUUUUUAGCAUGUGUAAUGGCAUGAAUGUGUUGAAUUGGUAAUCCCUUGUGUUAAGCCAUUGUUUUAGUGUUCUUUUGAUGAGUUUGGCUUGUUGUUAUGAACAUUGUUUGUUUUGGCGAGUUUGAACGUUUUU